UUUAUUGAGAGAAAUUAUAUU
This 21-nucleotide non-coding RNA is filed under the name Caenorhabditis elegans. The record is from RNAcentral. Lineage: Eukaryota; Metazoa; Nematoda; Chromadorea; Rhabditida; Rhabditidae.